Molecule: ribosomal RNA, 1430 nt
Filed under: metagenome
Description: bacterial SSU rRNA
Rfam family: Bacterial small subunit ribosomal RNA
Source: RNAcentral
AGAGUUUGAUCCUGGCUCAGGAUGAACGCUGGCGGCGUGCUUAACACAUGCAAGUCGAACGAACCUUCGGGUUAGUGGCGGACGGGUGAGUAACGCGUGGGAACCUGCCCUCAGGAGGGGGAUAACGGUUGGAAACGGCCGCUAAUACCCCAUAUGCCGAGAGGUGAAAUGAAUUUCGCCUGAGGAUGGGCCCGCGUCUGAUUAGCUAGUUGGUGGGGUAAGAGCCUACCAAGGCGACGAUCAGUAGCUGGUCUGAGAGGAUGAUCAGCCACACUGGGACUGAGACACGGCCCAGACUCCUACGGGAGGCAGCAGUGGGGAAUUUUCCGCAAUGGGCGAAAGCCUGACGGAGCAACGCCGCGUGAGGGAUGAAGGCCUCUGGGCUGUAAACCUCUUUUCUCAAGGAAGAAGACCUGACGGUACUUGAGGAAUAAGCCACGGCUAAUUCCGUGCCAGCAGCCGCGGUAAUACGGGAGUGGCAAGCGUUAUCCGGAAUUAUUGGGCGUAAAGCGUCCGCAGGUGGCCCUGUAAGUCUGUCGUUAAAGCGUGGAGCUUAACUCCAUUUAAGCGAUGGAAACUACAGGGCUAGAGUGUGGUAGGGGCAGAGGGAAUUCCCGGUGUAGCGGUGAAAUGCGUAGAUAUCGGGAAGAACACCAGUGGCGAAGGCGCUCUGCCGGGCCAUCACUGACACUCAUGGACGAAAGCCAGGGGAGCGAAAGGGAUUAGAUACCCCUGUAGUCCUGGCCGUAAACGAUGAACACUAGGUGUCGGGGGAAUCGACCCCCUCGGUGUCGUAGCCAACGCGUUAAGUGUUCCGCCUGGGGAGUACGCACGCAAGUGUGAAACCCAAAGGAAUUGACGGGGGCCCGCACAAGCGGUGGAGUAUGUGGUUUAAUUCGAUGCAACGCGAAGAACCUUACCAGGGUUUGACAUCCUGCGAAUCCCUUGGAAACGAGGGAGUGCCUUCGGGAGCGCAGAGACAUGUGGUGCAUGGCUGUCGUCAGCUCGUGUCGUGAGAUGUUGGGUUAAGUCCCGCAACGAGCGCAACCCACGUCGUUAGUUGCCAGCAUUCAGUUGGGCACUCUAGCGAGACCGCCGGUGAUAAACCGGAGGAAGGUGUGGAUGACGUCAAGUCAUCAUGCCCCUUACAUCCUGGGCUACACACGUACUACAAUGCUACGGACAAAGGGCAGCGAUCCCGCGAGGGCUAGCAAAUCCCAUAAACCGUGGCUCAGUUCAGAUCGUAGGCUGCAACUCCCUACGUGAAGGAGGAAUCGCUAGUAAUCGCAGGUCAGCAUACUGCGGUGAAUACGUUCCCGGGCCUUGUACACACCGCCCGUCACACCAUGGAAGUUGGCCACGCCCGAAGUCGUUACUCCAACCCUUGUGGAGGAGGACGCCGAAGGUGGGGCUGAUGACUGGGGUGAAGU